Molecule: ribosomal RNA, 745 nt
Filed under: bacterium
Lineage: Bacteria
Description: bacterial SSU rRNA
Rfam family: Bacterial small subunit ribosomal RNA
Source: RNAcentral
UGCAAGUCGAGCGGAGUUUUGAAAAGCUUGCUUUUCAAAACUUAGCGGCGGACGGGUGAGUAACACGUGGGCAACCUGCCCUUGAGACGGGGAUAACUCCGGGAAACCGGAGCUAAUACCGGAUAACACAUAUCUUCGCAUGAGGAUAUGUUAGAAGGUGGCUUUUAGCUACCACUCAAGGAUGGGCCCGCGGCGCAUUAGCUAGUUGGUGAGGUAACGGCUCACCAAGGCGACGAUGCGUAGCCGACCUGAGAGGGUGAUCGGCCACACUGGGACUGAGACACGGCCCAGACUCCUACGGGAGGCAGCAGUAGGGAAUCUUCCGCAAUGGACGAAAGUCUGACGGAGCAACGCCGCGUGAGUGAUGAAGGUUUUCGGAUCGUAAAGCUCUGUUGUUAGGGAAGAACAAGUACCUGUUAAAUAAGCAGGUACCUUGACGGUACCUAACCAGAAAGCCACGGCUAACUACGUGCCAGCAGCCGCGGUAAUACGUAGGUGGCAAGCGUUGUCCGGAAUUAUUGGGCGUAAAGCGCGCGCAGGCGGUUCCUUAAGUCUGAUGUGAAAGCCCACGGCUCAACCGUGGAGGGUCAUUGGAAACUGGGGAACUUGAGUGCAGAAGAGGAGAGCGGAAUUCCACGUGUAGCGGUGAAAUGCGUAGAGAUGUGGAGGAACACCAGUGGCGAAGGCGGCUCUCUGGUCUGUAACUGACGCUGAGGCGCGAAAGCGUGGGGAGCGAACAGGAUUA